This 501-nucleotide ribosomal RNA is filed under the name uncultured bacterium. Its description in RNAcentral is "partial 16S ribosomal RNA". It matches the Rfam family "Bacterial small subunit ribosomal RNA", at positions 29 to 523 of the family's 1533-position model. The record is from RNAcentral.
AUUGAACGCUGGCGGCAUGCCUUACACAUGCAAGUCGAACGGCAGCACGGGUGCUUGCACCUGGUGGCGAGUGGCGAACGGGUGAGUAAUACAUCGGAACGUACCUUAUCGUGGGGGAUAACGCAGCGAAAGCUGUGCUAAUACCGCAUACGCCCUGAGGGGGAAAGCGGGGGAUCGCAAGACCUCGCGCGAUUAGAGCGGCCGAUGCCUGAUUAGCUUGUUGGUGGGGUAAAAGCCCACCAAGGCGACGAUCAGUAGCUGGUCUGAGAGGACGAUCAGCCACACUGGGACUGAGACACGGCCCAGACUCCUACGGGAGGCAGCAGUGGGGAAUUUUGGACAAUGGGGGCAACCCUGAUCCAGCAAUGCCGCGUGAGUGAAGAAGGCCUUCGGGUUGUAAAGCUCUUUUGUCAGGGAAGAAACACCGGCUCUAACACAGUCCGGGAAUGACGGUACCUGAAGAAUAAGCACCAGCUAGCUACGUGCCAGCAGCCGCGGUAA